UCUUGAACCAAAACCUUAAGGUAUUAGUUCCAUGGGCUUUUCCUUCUUAUAAACCCUUUCACUCCUCCCUACAUAUCCAAUGUGGGACUUCACACUUGAAUAAACCCAACAAUACUUUUAUGGAUGUGGAUGUACAUCCUUUAACAAUGGAUUUAUAAUUUUAUGGAUGGUGAUAUAUAUCCUUUAACAAUGGAUUUAUAUAUAUUAUGGAUGUUGAACAAGGG
RNAcentral lists this long non-coding RNA (224 nucleotides) under Lupinus angustifolius (narrow-leaved blue lupine). Its description in RNAcentral is "long non-coding RNA (LANG_LNC003387)". The record is from RNAcentral. Lineage: Eukaryota; Viridiplantae; Streptophyta; Magnoliopsida; Fabales; Fabaceae.